UCACUCUGGUUUUCCUUCAUAUCGAGUAAAUCUUUCGCCUUUUACUAAAGAUUUCCGGGAGGAGAGCACUGAAAUGAG
Molecule: small nuclear RNA, 78 nt
Filed under: Nematostella vectensis (starlet sea anemone)
Lineage: Eukaryota; Metazoa; Cnidaria; Anthozoa; Actiniaria; Edwardsiidae
Description: U5 spliceosomal RNA
Rfam family: U5 spliceosomal RNA
About the family: U5 RNA is a component of both types of known spliceosome.
Source: Rfam by way of RNAcentral